RNAcentral lists this unclassified non-coding RNA (349 nucleotides) under soil metagenome. RNAcentral's name for it is "partial contains 5.8S ribosomal RNA, internal transcribed spacer 2, and large subunit ribosomal RNA". The stretch from base 1 to 121 matches the Rfam family "5.8S ribosomal RNA", at positions 35 to 154 of the family's 154-position model. The record is from RNAcentral.
GAUGAAGAACGUAGCGAAAUGCGAUAAGUAAUGCGAAUUGCAGAAUUUCCGUGAGUCAUCGAAUCUUUGAACGCACAUUGCGCCCACUGGUAUUCCGGCGGGCAUGCCUGUUCGAGCGUCAUUUCAACCCUCAAGCCCCCGGGUUUGGUGUUGGGGAUCGGCUCUGCCCUUCUGGGCGGUGCCGCCCCCGAAAUACAUUGGCGGUCUCGCUGCAGCCUCCAUUGCGUAGUAGCUAACACCUCGCAACUGGAACGCGGCGCGGCCAUGCCGUAAAACCCCAACUUCUGAAUGUUGACCUCGGAUCAGGUAGGAAUACCCGCUGAACUUAAGCAUAUCAAUAAGCGGAGGA